AAAUAACAAAAUUUAAGAAAAAGAAGAAAUAUAUAAAGAACACCAAAAAUAUAAACAAUAAAAAAUAAUCCUAUUAUUGAAAAGUAAACAAAAAAAAAGUCUUUAAAUUGACAUGUUAACUUUUCUCAAAGGUCCAUCAGAAGAAACUAAAAACAGGAAUAACAUAACUUCAAGAAGCAUAAAUUAUAGAAGCACAACGAUCAUGAAAAUGUUCAAAGUAAUUUAUCUUAAAAGAGAUAAAAGGAGAAAAGAAGGAUCGAUUGGGCAUCAAACUCUUUUAUAAAUUUGAAGGGUAAACAUAACCGAAACAACAAUUAAAAAAAUUUGUAAGAGGUUCAGAUUCAUUUUCGUCCAUCAUGAGAAGAAGACACCAUAUGUCUACCUUCUUCUUGCCUGGAUCCAACCUAAGAGGUAGACAUGGCUGCAGUGGUUGCUACAUGGGCCAUCCAAACUGCCCCGCCAUCAACCUGUUUUGGUUGGAAAACAGAGCAUUGAAGAGAGGUGACAAUGGUCAUGCUUCAUCCAUACCAUAUGGAUCUAGGCUUCAGCAUCACCAUGAACAGUCAAUCUGAGUUUGAACACCAACAUGGUGAAUGAUCGAAACCAUCAUUUAUUUUAAUUUCAUCAUCAUCACCUCUUAGUGAAUCAACAGAAGUAGUAAGAAAUUAACCAAGCACUAUGAAGAGAAAAUUAGGGAGAAAAUAAAUCUUCAAUAUUAGAAAGGGAAAAAAGAAGAGUGAAGACGAUUAUUUCAAAAACAUCAAUUAUUUCCUCAUCGCAAGACUACAUCUUCAGCAUCACCAUGAACAACCGAUCUGAGUUCGAACAUCAACAUGGUGAAUGGUCGAAACCAUCAUUUAUUUUAAUUUCAUCAUCAUCACCUCUUACGGAAUCAAUAGAAAUAGUAAGAAACUAAACAAGAAAUGUGAAGCGAAAAUUAGGGGAAAACUAAAUUUUCAAUAUUAGAAAGGAAAAAGAAGGAUGAGAGAAGACAACCUUUUCAAAGCUGUCAAUUAUUUCCUCAUUGCAAGACUACAUCCUCUGAUCCCCAAAUGUCUUAUGUUGUGUACUAAACUAACCAGCUAGCAAGGAUGACAUCACCACAAUCCAAGCCAACCAUUGUAAUUACCUUUCCUUCCCCCAUUAUCAGAUAGAUCCCUUCGAUUAUGAACAAAUAUGAUACUCCCAAUAGAUCCUCCUCUUUUCCAUUACAUUUUUAAUUGUAGUAAUCAUAUGAGUGAAUAGACAAGAAAAUCUUGGUUCCAACAAAUUAAUUCACAGAAUAAAACAAAAAAACAAAUUCUGCACAAGAGAACAACAAGACCAAAUCGACAUAAUGAGCAGAAACACCAAAGACUAACUAACCGAAUUCCAAAAACAAAAUCAUGAUACCACAAAAUUUUUCACUGAUAUCAUGACAUGGACUUAUACCAACCUUUUGUAUACGAUAAAUCAUGGUAUAAAAAGAUACUAAUUUUCCCAAACAAUAUGACCAACUGUUGUUUCAAAUUUCAAUAAAAUGCACAAAUGACAAACUAUAAAAUUUCAUGUCCUUAAGAUAUACAUAACACUUAAUUGCACAUUUACAUAACAAUUCACCACUACACAGACAUUUAACUUAACACAACUGCCAGAUCAUAUGACCAAAUAAAUUCUGAAUAGUAUAUAAACUCCAAACAGCAAUAAAUUCUGUACUUCUUUGCAAACAGUGUAGAUUCACAAACACUAAAAUUGUGUCAAACCUUCACUCAAAGGGCAUUAUUUGUUGUCAAUUCCAGACAAAUUUCUAGGACCAACGUAUAUUAUGGCCAAAACAACUAUUUAUAACUUGCAUCAAUAUGUCUUACUCACGUAUCAGUGAAGAUUAUUAGAAAAACUAUAUUGUUGAGGGAGAGGCAAUUGAAAGAAACAAGAAGAAUAAGUAGCAAACAUCCAAACUUAACACACGAAUGUAUUUGGACCCACCAUUAAUAAAGGAUGAUUGAAUAUGAUCAUUGGAACAGAAGAUGUUCUUGGUAAAUAACCAUAGAAGUGCGACUACUCAAUUAAAGAUUUUAAACUAUACAACUAAAGUGGAGUAAUCUUCAAAAGCAAUCAUCCACAAUAUCUACUCAAUUAAAUAAGGAUCCCAUAUAAAAUUUGAACCACUAGAGAAGAAUAUAUUGGCUGGGGCAGACAACAUUGAUCAGAUUAUAUCAUCCGGUCCAACCAACAAAAGAAAGAGGGCAACAAUUUUAUCAACACAAUUCCAAACGAUGCCGCCUGAACAAGCAUUUAUGCAAAUUGUAAAAAGAAUCAUUUUACUUAUGAGACAGAGAUACACCAUCCAAACCUUAAAUAACAUAUAAAUACCAAUAGCAGUGCUACAGAAAAUAAGAGAACAGUUCAUCUGAAAAAGAGAGAAGCAACCAACAACUACCUCCACACUUCGUUUAGGAUCUUUAGAUGCCUCAUUGCUUCAAACAAUAACGACACAUCCAAACAUGAAAUCGCUUUGCAAGUAUAGAUCUACGAAAAAGUGAUAAAAAAAAUACCUCCCAAUGAUAGUUCAUUCAAACAAGAAACCCUAUUACCUCACAGCACAUCACACAUUCUGCAUAUUGAGUACCAACUAGAGAGAAUAACAAGCCAGAUUCAAGUCAUAAGUCUCAUCUUAUUUACUUUCCAACCAAAUAAUAAAGACCCAGCUUCAUAACAUACAGCCAGAGCAACAAACAACCAGAGUAGCAAUGUAUGAGACACCCAAGUUCUAACAGUGGCAUUAAAAUAGCAUAAUAUUUCUCAUCAAAAAGGUGACACGAACCUGUGUCAAACAUAUGCACAUAGCAUAACACAUGGUACCAUAAGAUACUGAUAAAGUCACACAAUACGUUCAAGCGUCAUUUCAAAGAAAUAGCAUAUGCUAGGGUGCUAUAACGUAUGUGUGCAAAGAGAACAGAUUAUCCGAAAAGGAGAGAAGCAACCAACAACUACAUUGACACUUCCUUUAGAUGCCUCAUUGCUUCAAACAAUAAUGAUGCAUCCAAACAUGAAAUUGCUUUGCAAGUAUGGCUCCACAAAAAAGUGAAAAAAAAAAUACUUCCAAUGAUUGUUCAUUCAAACAAGAAACCCUUUUACCUCACAGCACGUCACACAUUCUGCAUAUUGAGUACCAACUAGAGAGAAUACGAAGCCAGACUCCGAGUCAUAAGUCUCAACUUAUUUACUUUCCUACCAAAUAACAAAGACCCAGCUUCAUAACAUACAGCCAAAGCAGCAAACAAGCAGAGUAGCAAUGUAUGAGACACCCAAGUUCUAACAGUGACAUUAAAAUAGCACAAUAUUUCUCAUCAAAAAGGUGGCACGAACCUUUGUCAAACAUAUGCACAUAGCAUAACUCAUGGUAGCAUAAGAUACUGAUAAUGUCACACAAUACGCUCAAGUGUCAUUUCAAGGAAAAAGCAUAUGCUAGGGUGAUAUAAUGUACGUGUGCAAAGAGAACAGAUUAUCCGN
This 3492-nucleotide long non-coding RNA is filed under the name Musa acuminata (dwarf banana). RNAcentral describes it as "long non-coding RNA (MACU_LNC002448)". The record is from RNAcentral. Lineage: Eukaryota; Viridiplantae; Streptophyta; Magnoliopsida; Zingiberales; Musaceae.